This 1056-nucleotide small RNA is filed under the name Oryza sativa Japonica Group (Japanese rice). Its description in RNAcentral is "sRNA Os06g0216250". Lineage: Eukaryota; Viridiplantae; Streptophyta; Magnoliopsida; Poales; Poaceae. The record is from RNAcentral.
AGAAAAGGGUAAUCUGUAUAACCAACAACGGGAUCCUGUGUAUAAAAGGUAGACCUGUCAUACCUGUUCAAUGGUGCGUCAAGCUCAAACCUCCUCGGCAAGUCAGGGUUAGCCAAGAAGAGCCUCCCGUAGGCGACGAGAUCGGCAUAGCCAUCAGCCACCACCUUGUUCCCUUCCUCCCGGUCAUACCCGCCAGCAGCGAUGAAAGUGCCAUUGAACUGCUUCCUGAAUGGCAGGAGACCAUGGGUGAUCUUCCUCCGUCCUUCGACGAUGGCCAUUCCUGGCUCCACCAUGUGGCAGUAGAGAAAGCCUGGGUGCUUGUUGAGUUGCUGCACCAUGUAUGAGCCGAGAGCUACCGGGUUGGAGUCGAAGCAGUCCAUGUAGUUGUCGAAUGGCGAUAAUCUGAUUCCAACACGGUGCGCUCCCACCUCGGCGACGACGGCAUCGAUCACCUCGACGGCGAAGCGGCACCGGUUCUCGAGGUUGCCACCGUACUCGUCGGUGCGGUCGUUGGCGCUGUCCUUCAUGAACUGGUCGAGGAGGUAGCCGUGCGCGCCAUGGAUCUCCACGCCGUCGAACCCCGACUCGAUGGCGUUCCGCGCGGCUCGCCUGAAGUCGUCGACGAUCUGAGGGAUCUCGUCUGUCCGGAGCCGCCGGGGCUUGGAGUACACCAUGCCUGAAUCGUCCGGUGUGAUCUGCUUAUCGGUGCUCGAGAUCGGCGCCUCAAGUGGACGAACCUGUGGUGGAGACCCUGCCGACGUGCCAUAUCUGUAGGAAGAAGAGGGCGCCCUUGCGGUGGACGGCGUCGACGAUGGGUUUCCACGCUUCGAUCUGCUGCUGCGUGUAGAUGCCGGGGGUGUCCGGGUAGCCCUGCGCGGUGGGGGAGAUGACAGUGGCCUCCGCGAUGAGGAGUCCGCCGUUGGUGGCGCGCUGCGAGUAGUACACCGCGGCGUGCGGCUGCGGCACGUGGCCGUAGGAGCGGCACCGCGUCAGCGGCGCGAGCACCACCCGGUGGGACAGCUCCAGCUGCCCCAUCUUGUACGGCGUCAGCAGCGG